AGAACUGACGCAGCUUCAUCUCAUUCCUGAUGUAUCCUGGGCCCCUCAGUGCCUUACUCCUGCGUGAGCGCUGUGAACUGGAGCAAAUGGAUUGAAAAUGGCCAGAAGUUUCUCUUGAUCACUUUAGAUCUUUUAUGACAAAGAAAAAAAUUUCAAUUUCUGUCCAGUUAAAAUCCAUUUGAGCCAGUUUAAGCUAAUUGCGCAGAGCUGGAGCCUGAGGUCGGCAAAUCCAGGAAGAUGGCUGAAUACUAUGCUGACUCAAGCCCAGACGAGGAGCCAGAUUUCUUGGAUUCCAGAUUCACUUCUUCCUUGACUUCACCCUGGACCUGUGGUGACUGGAGGCUUUGUGACAUGAUGAAAAAACUGAGGCUCCAAGAGCUUCUGUGACUUGUCCAAGGCCAUGCAGCUAGUUCACAGUGAGGCACAGAAUCAGUUGUAGAAGCACUUCAGGGAAUUCGGAUACCGUUUUGUGGCCUGGCAAGAUCAGCACCCUUAAUACCUUAGCCCCUGCCAGUCAUCAGCCUCUGAUUUCCCUGUUAUCCUGCUGCUCCCUAGAAUGCAGCUAAGAAGUGGCCUAAGAGACAGCACGUUUACGGAGUAGCAAAGGUUCAGCCUAGGGAAUUCCCAAUGCUUGAACUAACAGCAACAAUGGUCUAUAUAGUCUCAAAGAUGGUUGUGUAGAGGCCUUCUGAACAUUUCCCAUAUCCAUCUGCCCUUGUAAACAUCUCUUCUUCCUCUGUUGUACACAAGGAAUGAACCAUAAAAGCAGAAACUCCAUCAUUCUUAUGAACCAUUUUCAUGUGUCCUCUAUUUCAAUAUUACUUUUCCUGUUUGAGCUUUACUUUGCAUAGUAGACUUGCUCAACCUGCUCUCUGUGGAUGAGAACCACAUUGUUGAAAAGCCCUUCGAUAUGUGGAGUGUUGAAAACUGUUGUGUGGUUGAGCCAGUGAGUUCUGCUGGCUCUGGGAUGAGGGCUUCACCUCAUGUAUUUGCACUGCCCUUAUACUAGUUACUGCUAACCUCAGAAUCAGGUUGAAAAUUCAAAGAAAAUCAAACCCUUAUGUGUUGCCCUAAGGCAAAACUGUCCCUUACCACCUUAAGUGCCCGAUUUCCAUUAACCAUUUUUUUUCCUGGUGAAAAUUAAUACCACAUUGAAGGAAGAUAAAGUCACAUGGUCUUUUGCCCAGUGCCAGUACAUAAUUGUGACUAUUGUAUAGAGUCAAGAAAAGAUAGGAAGAUCUGCUCUGUGACAAUAUAGACUUGAUCUAUACUGUUAGUAAACUGCUUUUUAGGCCAGGGUUGUGGACUUCCGGCACCAUCCAGCUCUGACUGGGCUUAGAUGGAUGGGACACAUCAUGCUAUAGAAUUAUUCCUGGCUUCUUUUCUAAACACAUAGCACCACAAUGAAACAGAGCAGGAAGAGAAGGGCUCUGGUAGGAGCUAGAAUGAUAUUCUUGCCUUUCUUCAGCUCCCAAAGUAAUCUAGUUUUGCCCUAGCUCAAUGUCUCCUUAUGUCAGUCUUAAUUAACAGCAACAACAAAAAUCCCCAGGGGACUGAGCUUAUCAUCAGAAAGAGAUCAUAGAGGUCAUCGAAUUCACACAUACCCCAAGCCCUGCCAAACUCCUGUAUGGGGGUUACACCUAAAACAAGCUCUUUAUGCAGGGCUUGUCAGAAAAGACUGUCCUCUUGUUUUUCUCACUCAGGGAACCUAGAGUGCAAAAGAGCAAAGUAAUCAGCAACUUUACUGGCUUUACUGGCCUUCUUGCCACAUGCAUAUACACUUCUCACAAAGCCGUCUUCCCCUAUCCCCAGGCUCCAACUCACUUCUUAUCCUUAGUUCCUAGUUGCCACUGAGUGUGGAACACACACACACACAGACACACACACACACACAGACACAGACACACACACACACACACACACACACACACACUCAGGCACACUCAGGCACUCACAUGCUCCUGAUGCUAAGAGCUAAAAAUAUCUAGGAAAGGACCAUGUAGGAUACAGCUUCUUUAUUCAUAACUGGCUAAAGUGAUUUUAAUGUGGAUGCUUAUAUUUAAGAAAGGUAUUAAACAUGCAAGUAUCACCUUAAUUUUCCAUGCAAAUUUCAGUUUAAUGACUAUGACCAUGAGUGGAUCAGAGUUAGACACUCUUAGAACUUAUAACACAGGGUCUGUUGGUCGUUCUGGGAUAGGACAUAGCUUUCAAGAGUUGUGUGAAGUUUAGCAGAUGACAAACAAUAUUGUGAGACUUAGAGGAUGAGAAUGAGGGAACCUUAUUUCUUUUGAAUUUUCAUUUUAUUCUCUUAGCUAUGUAAGAUACGUUAGUUGUUUAGUGUGUACUAAUUUCUUUAUCCAAGAAAACAUUAUGAGACAAUUAUUUUAAAACAAAUGGAAAUAUAAAUGGUAUAAAAUGUAACCAGGGAGAAUGUCAAAAGGUAAAGAGGGGGAUGGGAAGAGGAUGGUAAAGGGAGAUAGAGGAAAGCAAAUAGAAAUGAAAAACAAAGCAAACAAGUGUCAAAGAAAAAUAAAAGGAAAUGAUCUUAGAAAGUUAAAUGAGUGAAAAACAUAUGGAAGGGUCAUGACAAGGAAACAGAAAGACAGUCUGAAAGAACAGGAACAACAGGAUAAUGUGGCACUGGCCAUCUUCCAGAAGGUGGAGCUUGAACCUUUCCAUCCCUAGCAAGGAUUUGAUUCCAAAAAAUGGAGUCCAGAAUAAAAGGCAAAGUCAGUUCAUAGUGGAAAAAUACAACAAGCACAAGACUAAGGUUAACAUCAUUGAGUGCUAGCUGAGAUCCAUUCUGCAAAACACCUAGCCAUUAUGCCUCAGAACUAUCAAUAUAAUCGAAAACAAUGAAAAGUCAGACCACUGACCAAGCAAGAAGAGUCUAGGGAGGUGCAAGAAGUGUUAUUGUAGGAUCCUAGAUGGGAUGCAGGCAUAGAGAAAGGACAUCGGAUAGAAACUACAGGCAUCUGAAUAGAGAGCUGAUUUUACUUAAGACGUGAUAGAUAAUAAAAUGUAUAAAAAUAUGUAUCAUGGAUGAGAGAUGUUAGUAGUAGAGAAAGCCAGGUGUUGAGGAUGCUGAAUCCUCUGUACCAUCUUUGUAACAUCUCUAAAUCUAAAACUGUGUUAAAAUAAAGAUUCUGCUUCAAGUUUAAAGACAAAGGAAAAAACAUGAUACAAUGGUGGAGGAGGAGAGAGAAGUGGAUCUCUAUCUCUUUCCUUUUUGAGAUAAGAUGAUGUGUAAGUCAUGCUGCCCUUGAACACAUCAUUUCCUUGCCUCCACCUCCUGAGUGCCAAGAUUACCAAGGUGCACCACCACAGAUGGCUAAGAGACAAAGAUUUUUUUAAAUUAAAGCAAACAACAUAAAGGAAUUUUUAAAGAAAAAAAACUACC
Grammomys surdaster is the source of this 3400-nucleotide long non-coding RNA. RefSeq lists it as uncharacterized. NCBI's taxonomy places the organism in Eukaryota, Metazoa, Chordata, Mammalia, Rodentia, Muridae. The record is from RefSeq and is a predicted model, not a curated record. The transcript has 5 exons.